RNAcentral lists this ribosomal RNA (198 nucleotides) under uncultured bacterium. RNAcentral describes it as "partial 16S ribosomal RNA". It matches the Rfam family "Bacterial small subunit ribosomal RNA", at positions 328 to 539 of the family's 1533-position model. The record is from RNAcentral.
ACGCUCGACACCUACUGGAGGCAGCAGUCGGGAAUAUUGCGCAAUGGAGGAAACUCUGACGCAGUGACGCCGCGUAUAGGAAGAAGGUUUUCGGAUUGUAAACUAUUGUCGUUAGGGAAGAAAAAGACAGUACCUAAGGAGGAAGCUCCGGCUAACUACGUGCCAGUAGCCGCGGUAAUCUGAGCGGGCUGGCAAGGC